UCAUCUCUCAUACAGGCAGAACAUACAUGUAUCAUCUCUCAGACAGGCAGAACAUACAUGUAUCAUCACUCAAGACUGGCAGGACAUACAUGUAUCAUUUCUCAGACAGGCAGG
This is a long non-coding RNA of Haliotis rubra (blacklip abalone), 114 nucleotides long. RefSeq lists it as uncharacterized. The record is from RefSeq and is a predicted model, not a curated record. Lineage: Eukaryota; Metazoa; Mollusca; Gastropoda; Lepetellida; Haliotidae. The transcript is spliced from 3 exons.